RNAcentral lists this ribosomal RNA (1323 nucleotides) under Streptococcus thermophilus. Its description in RNAcentral is "bacterial SSU rRNA". It matches the Rfam family "Bacterial small subunit ribosomal RNA". Lineage: Bacteria; Bacillati; Bacillota; Bacilli; Lactobacillales; Streptococcaceae. The record is from RNAcentral.
UUAAUGAGAGUUUGAUCCUGGCUCAGGACGAACGCUGGCGGCGUGCCUAAUACAUGCAAGUAGAACGCUGAAGAGAGGAGCUUGCUCUUCUUGGAUGAGUUGCGAACGGGUGAGUAACGCGUAGGUAACCUGCCUUGUAGCGGGGGAUAACUAUUGGAAACGAUAGCUAAUACCGCAUAACAAUGGAUGACACAUGUCAUUUAUUUGAAAGGGGCAAUUGCUCCACUACAAGAUGGACCUGCGUUGUAUUAGCUAGUAGGUGAGGUAAUGGCUCACCUAGGCGACGAUACAUAGCCGACCUGAGAGGGUGAUCGGCCACACUGGGACUGANAGCUUACCAGAAAGGGACGGCUAACUACGUGCCAGCAGCCGCGGUAAUACGUAGGUCCCGAGCGUUGUCCGGAUUUAUUGGGCGUAAAGCGAGCGCAGGCGGUUUGAUAAGUCUGAAGUUAAAGGCUGUGGCUCAACCAUAGUUCGCUUUGGAAACUGUCAAACUUGAGUGCAGAAGGGGAGAGUGGAAUUCCAUGUGUAGCGGUGAAAUGCGUAGAUNGCGAACAGGAUUAGAUACCCUGGUAGUCCACGCCGUAAACGAUGAGUGCUAGGUGUUGGAUCCUUUCCGGGAUUCAGUGCCGCAGCUAACGCAUUAAGCACUCCGCCUGGGGAGUACGACCGCAAGGUUGAAACUCAAAGGAAUUGACGGGGGCCCGCACAAGCGGUGGAGCAUGUGGUUUAAUUCGAAGCAACGCGAAGAACCUUACCAGGUCUUGACAUCCCGAUGCUAUUUCUAGAGAUAGAAAGUUACUUCGGUACAUCGGUGACAGGUGGUGCAUGGUUGUCGUCAGCUCGUGUCGUGAGAUGUUGGGUUAAGUCCCGCAACGAGCGCAACCCCUAUUGUUAGUUGCCAUCAUUCAGUUGGGCACUCUAGCGAGACUGCCGGUAAUAAACCGGAGGAAGGUGGGGAUGACGUCAAAUCAUCAUGCCCCUUAUGACCUGGGCUACACACGUGCUACAAUGGUUGGUACAACGAGUUGCGAGUCGGUGACGGCGAGCUAAUCUCUUAAAGCCAAUCUCAGUUCGGAUUGUAGGCUGCAACUCGCCUACAUGAAGUCGGAAUCGCUAGUAAUCGCGGAUCAGCACGCCGCGGUGAAUACGUUCCCGGGCCUUGUACACACCGCCCGUCACACCACGAGAGUUUGUAACACCCGAAGUCGGUGAGGUAACCUUUUGGAGCCAGCCGCCUAAGGUGGGACAGAUGAUUGGGGUGAAGUCGUAACAAGGUAGCCGUAUCGGAAGGUGCGGCUGGAUCACCUCCUUUCUAAGGAA